GAUAAACGCUGGCGGUGUACAUAAGACAUGCAAGUCGAACGGGAGAAGACAUGAAGAUUUAUCUACUUGUUGGACACCGUGGCGGACGGGUGAGUAACACGUAAGCAACCUGCCUAUAAGAGGGGAAUAACAGUGAGAAAUUAUUGAUAAUACCGCAUAAGCUGGAGGUAUCGCAUGAUACAUUCAGAAAAGAUUUAUCGCUUAUAGAUGGGCUUGCGUCUGAUUAGCUAGUUGGUGAGAUAACAGCUCACCAAGGCGACGAUCAGUAGCCGGAUUGAGAGGUUGAACGGCCACAUUGGGACUGAGACACGGCCCAGACUCCUACGGGAGGCAGCAGUCGGGAAUAUUGCACAAUGGAGGAAACUCUGAUGCAGUGACA
This 379-nucleotide ribosomal RNA is filed under the name Clostridiales bacterium oral taxon 075. RNAcentral describes it as "bacterial SSU rRNA". It matches the Rfam family "Bacterial small subunit ribosomal RNA", at positions 28 to 396 of the family's 1533-position model. The record is from RNAcentral. Lineage: Bacteria; Bacillati; Bacillota; Clostridia; Eubacteriales.